UACAGAGGAUGCAAGCGUUAUCCGGAAUGAUUGGGCGUAAAGCGUCUUAAGGUGGCUUUUGAAGUCCUCCGUCAAAUCCCCGGGCUCAACCUUGGACAGGCGUUGGAAACUCCUAAGCUGGAGUACGGUAGGGGCAGAGGGAAUUUCCGGUGGAGCGAUGAAAUGCGUAGAGAUCGGAAAGAACACCAACGGCGAAAGCGCUCUGCUGGGCCGACACUGACACUGAUAGACGAAAGCUAGGGGAGCGAAU
This 250-nucleotide ribosomal RNA is filed under the name uncultured bacterium. RNAcentral's name for it is "partial 16S ribosomal RNA". It matches the Rfam family "Bacterial small subunit ribosomal RNA", at positions 524 to 773 of the family's 1533-position model. The record is from RNAcentral.